RNAcentral lists this ribosomal RNA (253 nucleotides) under uncultured bacterium. RNAcentral's name for it is "partial 16S ribosomal RNA". It matches the Rfam family "Bacterial small subunit ribosomal RNA", at positions 524 to 776 of the family's 1533-position model. The record is from RNAcentral.
UACGUAGGGGGCAAGCGUUGUCCGGAAUCAUUGGGCGUAAAGCGCGUGUAGGCGGCCAGAAAAGUCCGCUGUGAAAACUCGAGGCUCAACUUCGAGCUGUCGGUGGAAACUUUCUGGCUAGAGUCCGGAAGAGGAGAAUGGAAUUCCUGGUGUAGCGGCGAAAUGCGCAGAUAUCAGGAAGAACACCCGUGGCGAAGGCGGUUCUCUGGGACGGUACUGACGCUGAGGUGCGAAAGCGUGGGGAGCAAACAGG